This 400-nucleotide unclassified non-coding RNA is filed under the name Hevea brasiliensis (rubber tree). Lineage: Eukaryota; Viridiplantae; Streptophyta; Magnoliopsida; Malpighiales; Euphorbiaceae. The record is from RNAcentral.
AAAAAAAAAAAAAAAAGAAAUUUAAGAACAUCAACAUAAGUGCAACAUUCUUCAACACUCCUUUCGUGCACACUGGCAGCCCAUCAGCACUCAUCUCGCGCGAUUGAUACACAUCUAGAGUAUUUUUAGAUCUACAGCAACUACGCUUACAUCAUCGACCAAAACUCGAGCUAGUGGAGCACGAUGUCGCUGGCCACAUGCGCGCACGAUGGAUGCAUAGCGGCACCUCUAUCAAGUUCAAGCCUCCUAAGUUUAUUCAUAGUCCAUGGGUUAUUGAUUCAUCUGCAAAUAGCCCAAUAAUAAUAAGGACGAAAUGAUGAAUUAGAAGUUGGAGUUGAGGGAAGAAAGAAGAAGACGAAGGAGGAGGAGGAGAAGAAAGAGAAGUAAACUGGGUUGGUUU